Molecule: unclassified non-coding RNA, 337 nt
Filed under: soil metagenome
Description: partial contains 5.8S ribosomal RNA, internal transcribed spacer 2, and large subunit ribosomal RNA
Rfam family: 5.8S ribosomal RNA (bases 1-120)
Source: RNAcentral
GAUGAAGAACGCAGCGAAAUGCGAUAAGUAGUGUGAAUUGCAGAAUUCAGUGAAUCAUCGAAUCUUUGAACGCACAUUGCGCCCCUUGGUAUUCCAUGGGGCAUGCCUGUUCGAGCGUCAUUUGUACCUUCAAGCUUUGCUUGGUGUUGGGUGUUUGUCUCGCCUCCGCGUGUAGACUCGCCUCAAAACAAUUGGCAGCCGGCGUAUUGAUUUCGGAGCGCAGUACAUCUCGCGCUUUGCACUCACAACGACGACGUCCAAAAGUACAUUUUUGCACUCUUGACCUCGGAUCAGGUAGGGAUACCCGCUGAACUUAAGCAUAUCAAUAAGCGGAGGA